GAUGAAGAACGCAGCGAAAUGCGAUACUUGGUGUGAAUUGCAGAAUCCCGUGAACCAUCGAGUCUUUGAACGCAAGUUGCGCCAGAAGCCAUUAGGCCGAGGGCACGCCUGCCUGGGCGUCACACGUCGUUGCCCCCCCAUCUACUCCUUCGGGAUUGCGGGGGGCGGAUGAUGGCCUCUCGUGCGCCUCGUCGCGCGGUUGGCCUAAAUGCCAAGUCCUCGGCGACGCACGCCACGACAAUCGGUGGUUGCGAAACCUCGGUUGCCUGUCGUGUGCGGUCGUCGCGCAUCGAGGGCUCGAAAAAAUUGCCGGGCUUCGGCUCGACUUUCAACGCGACCCCAGGUCAGGCGGGGUUACCCGCUGAAUUUAAGCAUAUCAAUAAGCGGAGGA
RNAcentral lists this unclassified non-coding RNA (391 nucleotides) under soil metagenome. RNAcentral's name for it is "partial contains 5.8S ribosomal RNA, internal transcribed spacer 2, and large subunit ribosomal RNA". The stretch from base 1 to 122 matches the Rfam family "5.8S ribosomal RNA", at positions 35 to 154 of the family's 154-position model. The record is from RNAcentral.